RNA transcript from Solanum verrucosum, 1078 nucleotides. RefSeq lists it as uncharacterized. Lineage: Eukaryota; Viridiplantae; Streptophyta; Magnoliopsida; Solanales; Solanaceae. The transcript is spliced from 6 exons. The record is from RefSeq and is a predicted model, not a curated record.
UUCAAUAGAAUUUCUGUUAAAGGCCCAAACCCCUCUCCGAUCAUCGCUCUCUGUUAAUCGCCGCCGUGGUCGACUCCCGCCGUCCAUCCCGGACGUUUUCUACGGCUAAUUCUUCAUCUCUAUCGUGUCUAUCCAAGAUGGCAUCACUUCAAGAAAGCUUGCAAAGGUUCAAGAAGCAGCAAGAGAAGUGCCAAGCUAUUAGCAGUAUGGCUGCCAGAGCAGGACCUUCCAAGGGAGCUCCUCCAAGACCAGCUAAUGCAAAACCUCCUGCACCUGCAGUCAAAUUUUCAAAUGACACGGAAAGGCUCCAGCAUAUAAAUAGUAUAAGGAAAGGGCCUGUUGGGGCUCAGAUAAAACGUGUCAUAGACUUGCUUCUGGAGACAAGGCAAGCUUUCACACCAGAACAGAUCAAUGAAGCAUGUUAUGUUGAUAUAAAUGGCAAUAAAGCUGUGUUUGACAGUUUGAGGAACAACCUCAAAGUAUAUUAUGAUGGCAAUCGCUUCUCUUAUAAGUCGAAACAUGCUCUGAAAAAUAAAGAACAACUACUUAUCUUGAUACGAAAAUUCCCUGAGGGUAUUGCUGUAAUCGACCUCAAGGAUGCAUACCCAACUGUCAUGGAGGACCUGCAGGCUCUCAAAGGUGCUGGUCAAAUAUGGCUGCUGUCAAAUUUUGAUUCCCAGGAAGACAUUGCCUUCCCAAAUGAUCCACGAGUACCUAUUAAGGUUGAUGAUGAUUUGAAACAGUUAUUCAGAGGUAUUGAAUUACCACGUGACAUGCUUGAUAUUGAAAGGGAUCUCCAGAAGAAUGGAAUGAAACCUGCUACAAACACUGCAAAGAGAAGGGCAAUGGCACAAGUCCAUGGCAUUGUCCCCAAGCCCAAAACCAAGAAGAAGAAGCAUGAGAUUAGCAAAAGGACUAAGCUUACAAAUGCUCAUCUUCCAGAACUCUUCAAACUUUAGAUAUCUAUUGGUUCAUAAACUUCUCCUGAAUCGAAAAGAAGCACUGGAGUUCCUCCUCUCCUUUCCAGAUUCUGUUGUCUAGUGACUGAGCCUCCAAUAUCUAAUGCUACACAUACGUC